RNAcentral lists this long non-coding RNA (381 nucleotides) under Carica papaya (papaya). Its description in RNAcentral is "long non-coding RNA (CPAP_LNC001165)". The record is from RNAcentral. Lineage: Eukaryota; Viridiplantae; Streptophyta; Magnoliopsida; Brassicales; Caricaceae.
AUAGUGCCACAUCAGCAGCCACGGCAGCAGCCUGGUCAGCAGCCCCGGCCAACCAGGACAUGCUGCGUGGCAGGGACGCUGACGCGGGAAGCCACACGGGACGAAGACACGUUGGUGAUCCGCGUGCGCGCGAUCGAACGACCCAGAUCCAUUCCCGCGUGCAGGGACGACCCAUAUCAAAGGCGCGCGUGGACGGCCCAGAUCUCACGUGUGCAGACGGUCCAGAUCGCAUCGCAAUGGACGGUCCAGAUUUAUUUCUAAUUUAAUCGCAAUCGAACGGUCCAGAUUAAAUCAAGAUGGAUGACUCAGAUUAAAAAGGGAGGGUUAUAAAUAAUCGCAUCCACACCCAACCCCAAACCCUAGUCGCCAAAACCCUCACCG